CGCCGGCAGCGCGGGGAGGCAGCGCCAGCUCGAGGUCUUUCUUCUUCAGUCUGCAGAACAGUGAAGAGGUCCUGCAAUGGCACCCCAGACUGUGAGCAGCUGUCAAGAUACUUUUAAGUGUUCUGUGAUGAGUUUGACCUCCUAUCAUGACUGUCCCCUUGUUCUCAGACAUGGAAUUUAAAAACAAGUGCUGAAGUCCUCAAGCUUUACCUAACAUGUGUGGAACAGUACAGUUCCUUCUUGUUUGAAAGAAUAUUUAACCCCUCCUCCUGCCCCCCCCAAGACACAGACAACAAACAAACAAACAAAACCAAAAUCAUUUUAUUUCCUUUCUUCUGAAGUUUAAAAAGGAAAGCACAAAUUCUUCUGGUCAUGAAUGCACAGAACAAGAUUCAGAGGAGUAAGGCCAUUGGAGCCUCGACAGUCAAGGAGGAAAUGAGUGGAAAUAUUCAUUCCCAGCACAUGCACAUUGCCAUUGCUCCUCAGCACUGCAGUGCAAUGACACAGUCCAUCUUUAUGGGAGCCAUUCCUAUUGUCUUUAUCAAGAUUACCUGUUACUCCAGCUGCAUAGUAGUAUGUCAGUCUCAUCUCCUGC
Molecule: long non-coding RNA, 595 nt
Organism: Gallus gallus (chicken)
Lineage: Eukaryota; Metazoa; Chordata; Aves; Galliformes; Phasianidae
Source: Ensembl